Eleginops maclovinus (Patagonian blennie) is the source of this 139-nucleotide small nucleolar RNA. RefSeq annotates it as small nucleolar RNA SNORA29. The transcript has a single exon. Lineage: Eukaryota; Metazoa; Chordata; Actinopteri; Perciformes; Eleginopidae. The record is from RefSeq and is a predicted model, not a curated record.
AGUCCUGUUAUAGUACCAAAUCUGCCUUUUAAUACAGAUGUAUGGCUAUGCUAACAGGAGAGAGAAACUCCAUCACAGUCUGAAGAGGUUGAGCAGCCACAUUUCUGCCACCUCUAAUGAAACGAUGGUACAAAAUGAA